Molecule: ribosomal RNA, 221 nt
Filed under: uncultured bacterium
Lineage: Bacteria
Description: partial 16S ribosomal RNA
Rfam family: Bacterial small subunit ribosomal RNA
Source: RNAcentral
UAAACGUCUCAGUUCGGAUUGUAGUCUGCAACUCGACUACAUGAAGCUGGAAUCGCUAGUAAUCGCGAAUCAGAAUGUCGCGGUGAAUACGUUCCCGGGUCUUGUACACACCGCCCGUCACACCAUGGGAGUCGGUAAUGCCCGAAGUCAGUGACCCAACCGGAAGGAGGGAGCUGCCGAAGGCAGGACUGGUAACUGGGGUGAAGUCGUAACAAGGUAGC